GACCUUAGCCUUGGGGGUAUUCUGUCUUUACAGAUAAGUGGAGCCAUCUACUGCAGUGAGUGAAUAUGGUCAUUGAAAAGUCUGGACUCUGAAUAGAAGCUGGAAAAAGCUGGCAUGUUCAGGUCAGUCCCCCCCUUAAAUCUCGUCCGUGGCUACAUGGUCCAAACAGGAGGAACAAGUGAUUAGUUAUAUUGGUGUUAGUCUCAUAUUUACCUGACACAAAGCAGAUCCUAAAAAUGAACGUAUCGAUCAGUCAAAAACAGACGCUUGGAGCAGAAAAGUUGAAUUCCUCAUGACUCUGUUUCUUGGACAAACUUAAUUUGAUAAAAAUGUACAUUUGAGUGAGUUUACUGUAUACAAAUCAAUCCUGUAUUACCCAGUCUGAGUUUCGCUUUGGCAGCUUAUUGAAUAGCGGCUCUUAUAUGAGAGGUUAUGAGGCAUAGCGGCAGACGGUGACCUCGUCUUCCUCCUCACGGCGGCCUCUCUGCCGACUGCAGGCACUUUCUCCUCUCUGACAAUGAGAGCAGACAUGAUGUUUACAGCCAUAGAUUACAGAAACUUCAGCCAGACUCAAGCCGCAUUCACACCUUAACACACACACACACACACACACACACACACACACACACACACACACACACACACGCACACACACAGAUCUGUCAUCCUCAGACUGAUCUAAGCUGGUUAAUCAGAUUUCUGCUGCUCCUACCUGUUUGGAUCUGAAUCAACAGACACAAGCUGUCGACUCCUCUCCUCUCCUCUCUCUCUCUUCCCCUCCCUCUCUCCCCCUCUCUCCCCUUCCUCCUCUCUCUAUAGGUCUGCAGUGUGUAGGUGUGCGGCAGUGUGUAAUAGGUUUUUCGGUGCAGCUCUGCAGCCUGAAGCCUCUGUCGGGCUCGGUGGGAGAAAGUCAAUUACAGCAGGGCUGAGCCUGGCCUGCGGGGGGGCAUAUGGGAGGGAGAUAAGAACGUAAAGAUGGCCGCCGCGGAGCGCUCCCCCGGCUGCAUGCAUGGGCGGCGAGCACUGCACUUUGCCCUCCUGCAGCUUUCCAGACGCAGAGCUGGAGAGCUGCAGCAGGAGGACUGAGACUCAGCAACUGUUUUCAUUAUCAUUUAUUCUAAUGCGCAACUUUGGUAUUGAUUUUUAACGCCUUUAAAGGAUCAAUUUUACUCCUAUAAACUUAAAUUCACAAAAGACCUGAAGUUUACAAAUGUCUGUAGCUCCUAAGUGAUGAACUGCAUCUUAAAUCAACAUGUUACCACCAAGGUAACAACAGAAACUGUCACAUUCAGAUGUGUGUGCACGAUAUUCAACAGGUGAGAAAUCAAGACGACACAAUAUUCAGUUUACAGUUCAGUGGACCGCCUGUCCUGAUCCCAGUCCACAAGCCCUGCACAGGACCUGAUCUAUUGACAAAUGCAAGUCCUCCUCCGCUUUGCUCAGUCUUCUCUGGUGAGCCACAGACAUAAGAGACACAAUGACGUCCAACAAGAGGAGUCAAAGGCGCCCUGCAUACUUUCACGUCUUUGUUGGCGAUGUUACUCUCUGUUGUUUUCAGUACACAUCUUUGACAUGCAAGACUGUCGCCCAGCUGACAACCUUUACCAAAACAACUGAUCAACAACCCAGCAUGACACAUUCACAUUAGGCUGUAAUGCAUCUGUCUUCCACUAGCUGGAGUUGUUCCUAGAGAGUUCCCUGUUCAAACUGGUGUGAUCUGCUGGUUGUCAAAGUGAAACCAAACACCAAAUAUUGUUUUCAGCUAAAUGAGUAAAAGUCUGUGGAUGAACAAGGAGAACAAAAAAGGUCACCUGCUGUCUAAAAAAAAACAGUAUUUACAGUUCAGAGAGUUUCAGGGAGUCUGGAGGUUUAUAGACAAAUGUGGGCUCUUGAGUUAGUUCAGGGUGGAGCAGAGAGUCAGAGAGUGAAUGCUGAUCGAUGUGAAAUACUGACAGUUUGGAUAAUAAUUGUUUUUUACUUCUGACCCAUGAACUAAAAUAAUUCUCCAAAGAAAUCCUCCUCUGUUUUCAGUUUAGUUAACAGAGGGUUAAACUUUCCCACUGAGCAUCAAUUUGAUGAUUUUCAGGUCAAAAGACGUCUCAGAUAAACCUGCUGUAACUGUGGCUGAGGUGGAGUUUUCCUGCUUUAUUUUACUGUUGGCCCAUGUUUGGAUGAAAUCUGGAGUAGGUCUAAUGACCUCCUGGAGCGGAGAGAGGGUUUCAACCUUUCUUUGGGAACAUCCAAUCUCAGUAGUCUGAACCUGCACAAACUGCAGCUGAACUUCAGGAGAUCAGAUUCACAAGAAAGCAAACACAACAACACAGACGAUCUUCUCUGAGAAACACGAAGAGAAGAAGAAUCAGCUACCCUCACUCUCUGUAGUUGAGCAGGAGGCUCAGAAAGUUGCCAAGAUGGUUGUAGGUAGCAUGUAGUAGGAAGUGUGAGCUCCAUACACACAAAGACAAAAACCAGCACAAUAUUCUGAUUCUGUUUACCCUCAGUGUGUCUUAAUCAUGCAUUUAAGGCAAACAGUGGUUUCCUAUGUGGAGAUAACCUUCUUCCAGCUCUUCAUAUGUGACCCCAGAGGUGUUCCCAGUACAACUGAGAGACAUAGUCUUUCCAGCGUAUCCUGGAUCUCCUACUGUGGUUUGACGUGCCCUGAAUGCAUCACCAACGGCCACCUCAUCUGACUCCUCUCAAUGCGGAGGAGCAGCAGCUCUACUUUGAGCCCCUUUCAAAUGACAACGCUUCUCACCCUAACUCUAAGGGAGAGCCCAGCCGUCCUGGAAACUCAAUUUGGCCGUUGACCACCACAGACCUGUGCAGCAUCCGCGUCACUGCUGAUGCCACAUAAAUUCACCUGCAGAUCUCCUGCGCCAUUCUUCCCUCACUCAAGAACAAGACCCUGAGAUACUUCAACUCCUUCACUUAGGCAGGAUCUCCUCCCCAACUCUGAGAGGGUGCCUCACCUUUUUAGACAAUGACCAGCAAACUAGUUAAAGGCAGUGUUUCUAUUUGUUCCUUCGUUCUGCACCCUCACACGGUCCACUUUCAUAAUUUCAGGAAGGUUUCGGUGUAUUCGAAUUCAGAAGUUUGUUUUUUUGUUUCUCCUGGAGGUAAGAAGCAUAUAACUUAUGACAUAUGGACUGAACAUGUUUUCUCACUCUGAAGGUCAGAGAGGUAAAAGUCAAGAAAGUUUUGAAAGGAUCUGAGAGUUCGGAGAGUUCACCUGAUAGACCUGUGAGUAUCAUUGAGUUUUAUAGUUUUCUAUCAUGAAUCAAAACUGGAAAAAAUUGAAAUAGUACUAAUUCUGUUUGUUUUACUUAGACUCUGACUAUAUUUACAGUAAUUAACAGUGAAAACUGGACCUGAGGGACAGAGGUGUUUGCAGCUCUGCAGCUGCUUCAGUGUGUCAUACAGACACCAAAGUACAUCAGAUAUAUUCAACAUUUCACAGAAACCUUAAACCACAUGUGGUCUGGUUCAGCCUGCAGAUCCAGACUCCCUCCAGCCUGUCAAUGUGAAGUCUGCUCAGAGUGAAUCAGGGAAGUUUUAUGUUUCAGAUGGAGAGAAAUGAAGGAAGAGAUCACAGCAGAGACAGGAAGCAGAGCUCAGCUGGAAAUCCUGGGCUCAGACGACUGAACACUGGAGGUUUGGUGGUGACGCUGCUGAUGCUGUUGUCUUCAUUCAGAGCGGACUAACACCUGCGUGCAGAGACACACACUGGCAUGGGACAUACACUAAUACACGCAGAUAGAACUACACACACCAUCACAAAAGCACGUCUCGCCACAGAGGAUGAGAAAUUACAAAGCAAGACGGAAAUUAGUGCACACACAUGCACCUGAACACAUCAUACACACACACACUGGAGACAAUAGGACAGACUUUCAGCUAGUGUGUGUGUGUGUGAUUGAUACAUUAUCAAUUUACAGUCUGAUUAAGAGAAACUGAACCUUGUGUUCAUCACCUGAUGUUCUGUAUAUGAGUCCAGUGUCUGGUCCUUUAAGCUUUAUACUUGGUCUCCAAAAACUCCACGGAAAAAUAAAUCCGUCCACUUUUUUUCUACCAGCUAAAACUGAGUCUGCCUGCAGCUGAAUUUUUAAAACUAUGUCAAGAAAAAAAGAAAGACUCUCCUCUCAGACGGCAUGUCUGGGGGUAUUACAGACUCUUUGAAUGUCGAACAGUUUGUAUAUGAUAGAAACUGACAUUUUUAAGUUCAGUAUUUUUGUAUCCAAAACAUCAUCCACCAGCGCAUGCACCCCUACUAUAACUGUUUGGAUACUACACCUGGUUAGAACAGGUAUUGGUUUAACUGAGCUUCUGCUGGGAGAUGAGUGUUGGUCCUGCAGUGUGGCGUGCAUAUUUACAUUUGGAACUUUCUCUAUUCUUCUCCAGUUCUUGCUAAUCACCUACUGCAAAUGUUUCUUCUUCUCCUAUUUAGCGUGGGGUGAAUUCUUUCAUUGCGUUGCAGUUAACAGAGGACACACUUACGGAAGAUAAGAUAACGUUUGAACCAGCUGAUUUUCCAUAAUUAAAUGAAUAUCCUUUCUUUAAAGGUGCGUUUGAAGGUCUGGACCGAUGUCAGAGUUUGAUUAGGUUGGGGGCAAACCAGUGCAUUCUGUCAAGUAAGAAGACCUCAUAAGGACAGAAAUACAGUAAGGUGUGUGUGUGUGUGUGUGUGUGUGUGUGUGUGUGUGUGUGUGUGUGUGUGUGUGUGUGUGUGUGUGUGUGUGUGUGUGUGUGUUUCUAAAGCCCAAAGCUUCUGGCUGCACAGGAUUAGCAGUCUUGCGUUUCAAACAGAGCGAGCGACUGUCAGCCUGAUUCUCUCUCUCUCUCUCUGCAGAAGCUAAUAAGCUCUGCUGGUUCUCCUCCUGCAGAGAGCUGAUUACAGCAUUAUAUCUCAUAUACCCACAUUCACCUCCCAAUACACCCAUACACUCCUGCACUAACACAUACUGUACCACCUCACCUGAAGUUACCCUGGUAUGUAUCCCAAUGUACUCUCGUUACCAGACGGCUCUUCUCUGCAGGGUUAUUUUAGAGGCUCAUUAUGACUGCAGGUGUCUUCACAUAUAGUCCCACGUAUACUUCCUGCUCUCAUUAUUAUCCUAUAUUAUAUAUCUAAGUAAAUGGAAGACAACAGCACUGCCCAUGCUCACUUAGACUCUGUUCUAAUUUCACACUGUCUAAAAAAAGACAGUUACAUAUGUUAAGGCAGGACAUGUAUUUGUACCUACUUGACAGCACUCUAUUGUUGUUUAGUACACUCAUCUGAUGUACUUGUGAUGUCCUCCUCAUUAACGGGUUUUUAGUUUGCUGAAAUAACAACAUCAUGAUGCAGAUCCAAAGUCCAGCUUUGUCAGGUCUGUCCUCAAGAGGAGAAAACUGAGACACUAAAAGGAGACAACAGAAGAAGUGUGGGAAUCAAGACAUCAUUUCAACAGUUUAGUCAGAUCAAUAACAGUAUCGGUUUACGCCAUAGACAGUAUAUAGAAUGGAUGCCGUUUGCCUCCUCGCUGGGUGAAGCCACUCCGAGAACAGCACCCUCUGGUGACGGGCUGCAGUAUAGGUCAUAAAUCCCGUCUCCUCCAGCAAUCCCUAUGGAGAUGAGGACAAACUUUAGAAAUUUAUUACACAGAACAUAAUUUUUUUCUCCCCCCUGCUUGCAAUGUUGACAUGUAGUUAUUGUAAGACUGUUUUGUGCUCAAGUCCUCUUUUUUCCGUACAGCUCCAUUUUUAAAAGUUAUUUGGGGUUCAUGUUUGCUAUGAUUGACACUUGAUACAGCCUAUGGGCGUACGAAGAUUGCGUAGCUCACCUGGUGGAUACGCUGUUUGAGCCGAGCAUCAUCACAGCGACUCUCGGUGACUCUCCCGCCGAAUGCAUACAACGCUACUGCACAAUGUCAGUCCCAGUUUCAGGCUUCAAAUCCACAUACUGGCACAAGGCAGAACCAAGUUGUCCAUAGUAUAUACAGUCUAUGGUUCAAGCUUCAACUGCAGCUUCAGCAAAACAUUCUUUGUAUUUGGUGUUAAACCUUCCACCUCAUCUCUCCAUGCAGACUGAUCCCACAUACACAAAUCUGAGGAGCAGUGAGAUAAUCUCUUGCUAUAAACAGAGGAGAUCCUGAGGAGGAGGUGGGUUUGAAAUUUUGAGGGAAUCUGGAGUGACAGUAGAGCACAGACCAGCAAUCCUGCAGCCCUUAUAGACUGCUAACCUGGGAGGACACAUCUGUCAGGUGGUUGACACAAUGACUCAUACAAAUGUAAAGCUAGUGCAGCUUUAUAAUCUACUGCCUGCUUUUGCUCUCCAUACUAGCUGUUUUCUCUGCAAACACCCAAGUCUGCUAACACCUGAGUGAUCAAUACAAACAGCACUGCAGCAUCAUUGUAAUCUGUAAAUAGAUAGAUAGUCUACAGUGAACUUGAAUAACCUUUAGACUUUUCCUCUUGUCUGUGAGCAGAUUUCAGUUUGAUAAUGUUCAGACACCUGGAUUAGCUGUUCACAUGCUCUCAUUAAUGUUUUCUGUCUGAGUAUUUCAGAUAUCAGGAGCUUAUCAAGAUUUCAGCAUGAAGAUGAUGUUUGCAUGCACAUCUCAUCAGUAGGGUACUGAAAACCCAAACCACAGCCAGAAUCAGAGCACUCUCAUGUGGGUUUGGGUUUUCUCCUGGGAUUUGUCAACAAUAAAGAAAUGAAAUCCAAUCUUGCCAGCCUUAUCCUUAAAUAUGAGCCGUGUUUAUCUUCCUCUGACACACAGCCUCGUCUGGCCGUGGAGAUAGCGAACAGAAGCGUGACGUUUCAAUGGCACCGCAUCACAUUUUUAUACCAGAACAAGAUGUUCUGUUCACGGAGCCGAUCAAACCAUGACAACCAACAACCAUCAGCAUCUAUUUAUAUAAAAAGACUUUUAAUUAGUGAUUACACCUCAAAAUAAAGUCAUUAUUUGUGCGUAUCAGAUCCUUACUCUGUUCUGCAGCAACCAAUGCUGCAUUACGCUGAAAUAAAGUGAGAGUCCUGCAGACAUCUAAGCGGGCUUUCGGAGGUUUAAACAGCCAUGUUGAUUUAUGUCCAAACUGAGUGAAGGAGCGUCAGUGUGUUCAGGUCAGAGGCAGCUCCAGGAGCAACCUCGACAAAUAUGGAGACAGUAUUAUAAAUGAAUCACAACCACAGACAGAAUAAUAAAUAAUAAAUACCUGAUUAAAACAGAACUUCAGAUUCACCUCACAUGACCAUGCCCAUGUAAAUCACAAAUCCUCAGCAGUGUGAAAACCUGUUUUACCACAGCAGGAACACAUGAGCAUUAAACUGACAAACUUACAAACUCAAAGAUGUCACAAACACCCUGAAUAUGAUGUUUUACAUGUGUUUUCUUGGUAUUUCACACAGCUCACCUUCACAUGGAAGUGCUAACAAAGUCUGAAAACAACAGCGGCCCGUACAGAGCCAGCUACAGUGUCCUGUAGAGGACACAGAGCUGUGACAGACAGAGCAGCAGAUGUGGCCUAUAGAGGCUGAUGGCUGACAUUUACUUCAUAACAACCUGCUGCUCCGGCUGAGGAGCACCUGUCUGUCUGCUGUGAAUGAGUCUCAGUUUCACUGUCAAGUUUCGCUCUGACUCAGAUGACUCUGUAAUGGUCUACUCCGUGAUAACAGCAGAAAUCAGCUGAGCAGACAGUAAAGUCCUGACUGUCUGUGGAUCCAGUUAAAGUAUUUGAUUUUUUUCAAUCAAAUGAAAUCAAUGAACUUCCCUGAUUGAAAACACCUAAACGAGCCUAGGUGAGGUCUGAUUCAUAGGGACAAUGAAGGCUCUUAGACCUUCUCCUCCUCUGUUUCUUUCUCCUCCUUCUCCUCUUCAGUGUGAUCUAGGACAGGCUGUAUAUCUCAGCUCUCUGCUUUAUAUUCUGCUCCUCACUCUCUUUUUCACACACUCUGACGCUCUCAGGAUGGAUGGAGAGAAGAAAGAAAGAGAGCUACAAAGGGAAGCAGCCCUCUUUUUUCCUCUGUCCCUUCUUCCCUUCAUCCUUGGUACCUUUCCUCCUUCCUUAGUCCCUCCAUAGUUGUUUCUGUCCUCAGGCUGCUGCUCAGUAAACGUGCAGCUGUCACAGUCCCGCAUUAAUGUUUCAGCAGCUCUUCCUGCUCUUAGAGGUGAGGACAGUUCUUCUCUUACUUUGCUGCUGCUGAUGGUUCUUCUUAUCCUCCUCUUCAUUAGUCCAUUUAUUCCAGAAUAUUACACAGCUUUAGAGCAUGUUUGUCUGACCAAAUUGUACGGAGCAUUCAUAGAGAAUAUAGUAGGAACACAUUGUAGUUCCGAGCGGGUUAACUGAUGCAAACAUUCAGCUUCCUUUUGGCUGCUGUCUUUUUGAGCCCCCCGAGACAACUUUCUUCUGAUUAGCCACCUUUCUGGAGGCUGGAUGACCAAAGAGCUCAAUAUUUUGGUUCCACCCCCUCUUUCGUGGUCAAACAGUAGAGCAGCAGAGCAGCAUUACCUGCUUUGUUGUGGGUGUCACUUCACAAGCUGUUGGAGGAAGGCCGUUCUGGAAGCGCAGAUGAAACAGGAAGGAGAGAAGUCAGAAUUUCCAACUAGGGAAAGUUGGACGAUCCUCACCAACCCCACCUUGACGACGUAAUAAUCCAAGAUGGCAGUGCAGUGCAUCAACAGUAAAGAGUAACAAUGGAAGCUCUCGUUAUGUAUUAUUUAUUAGCACUUCUGUUUUGUUUUUGUGAAAUUAAAUAAGUGGUAUAUGUUGUACUGCCCAACGUCUAACUGUGAACACAGUGCUAUGGUGUUAGUAAGAGUAAAAUACUGUGUUAUGUGCUGUUUACAACUGGUAUAGGCUAGCUAACAACUACUAACAACUGCUGACAACAGCUAACAACAAUUACAUUCUCAUGUAUUUUCUAAGAUUAUGACAUCUUUUGUUUACCUCAUACAUCUAGUAUGGACACCAAACACUGUUACUUUGCAGUUUUUGUUGUAAAUUUGGAAAAGCAUGAUACAAUGUCUCAAAAAAAAAAGUUUUGAAACCCAUAAAGAAUAAAAGGAAACCUAUGAUAGAACAAAAACAUACAGUCGGGUGGUUUUCCAACAAUCUAAAGUAAAGACCAAACUGUUAAACUAGGAGGUUCUGUCUCAGAGGUGCUCUAAAUCCACAGAGGAGCACCACAAGGCUCAGUUCUGGGCCCACUCUUGUUUACUAUUUACAUAACUUGACCUUAACAGAGUGUCCCAAUCUCUACUUUUCACCUCUAUGCUGAUGACACUGUGAUUUAUUACUGCGCACCUUUACCUACUCAAACUUUGUCGAUUCUGCAGUAUUUGAUUUAGUCCACAGAAAACUGUUACCAAAAACUGUUUUAAAUACUCUGGGUUUUUGAUCAGGGACAGUUUGUCUCUAAGGAGCAGAUCCAGUUUGUUUCUGAUGAGCUGGUGGUUUUCCUACAAAAACAGAUCCUGCUUAAUCUUUGAUAGUGUAGUCUCCCUGUUAACCUGUCCUGUAUUAUGGGAAUGUCUUGUACAUGUCCUCUGCUCACAGUCUGAACAGUCUGAAAAUAAAACUUUCAAGUAUUUUUUUCCAGAAAAAAUCUACAGACAGUUUAAACUGCAAAGAUUAGUCAGCCUCAAAACCCCAGUUAAAGGUCUGUAGGUCAGGUUUCUGAGUGUGCAAAUGUUUAAGCUGGCCUCAUUUUAUGGGUUUUUAGCACUCCUGUAAAAGUCUGAGUGGUUAAAUGUCAAAACUUUUUGUUGCUGCUGUACUCAGCAAGGUAUAUCAUUGUAAAGAAAUCUCACUGGGAUUUACCUGUCGAAAGAAGGUUUGAACAAUAAAUAGAAUAGAAUUAGUCCUUCCACAGCUUCUGCAGCCUACAGUUACCCAUGAUGCCUUUCUCCAUAUGAACCCGCUGAGAUGUUCCCUGUAUCUGCAGAGAGCCGUUAUACCAGCGUCUGUCUUUAUUGCUCUGCUGCUCACACCAGACUGGGACUCAGCUGCAAACCCAGGAAGACGAUAAAGAUGAUUAUAAACGACCAUUUCUGACCACUGUUACACCAUUACUGAGGGUCUCUCUCUCCAUUUAUCAAGCUCUCCUCUGUCCUUUCUCUUUUUCUCCAUCUCCAUCUACCAGUCUCUCCUCUGUCCAUCUCUCUCUCUAUCCCCCUUUCUCCCCUCUCUAAACCUAGCUCAGUCUCAGCAGAUGACUGUCUGACAUGAGUUUGGUUUGCUUGUGGUUUCUGUCUGUUACAGAAAAGUUCUUCCUCUCCACUGUAACUAUAAAUGUUACACUCAUGUGGAUGAAGGUCUGAUCUUACAGGAUGUGCCUAGUGCUGUAUAGUGAUGAAUAGUGAUGUAUAGUGAUGAAUACACCAUUGAACACUUUUAACAGUCAGAGGACAAACUGAUGAGCCAUUUUUAGAACUAUGAAAAUGAUUGGCCCUGAGGAUAAAUAUAACAGAUAUAUGUUAUAUGUUUUUUUUUUUAUUGUCAUGGUGAUAGUGAACAGGAGAAGAGUUUAUUCAGGGUCAGAUGAGGUCAUGUGACAUUGACUCCAUCUCCUUGCCGCACUGAACCGCCAUGCUGCACGAGGUUAUCACCAGAUAACACCUGAUCAGAUCAGCAUGUAGCAGGAACAGCAGGUGUGUGUGUGUGUGUGUGUGUGUGUGUGUGUGAGAGUGAGUGCCAGCUGAAUGACCUACAGAAAGGACAUCACUGCACACACACACACACACACACACACACACACACACACACACACACACACACACACACACCCCUCUGCUCAACAAACACACUGUGGGUUGUUUCAUGCUGCAGUGCAUUUUGGGUAAGAGCAACAUCUGGCUGACAUAAAACACACAGUGCCCCCCUCUCCCCCUCUCUUUCUGUCUCUCUCUCUCUCUCUCUCUCUCUCUCUGUCUAUACCUCUCUCCCCUUUCCCCAUCCUGUCACAUUUCUCCUCCGUCAUCCUCCUCUCUUCUUUGUUUACCCUUUUCACUCCUUCGUUCCUCCUAUUUUCAUGUUUUCCUCUCUGUCUAUCUCUCCAUCUCAUUAUCUUUCCUCUUUUCUUCUCUCCUGCUUAGCUUCCUCCUCUAAUUUAUUCUCCUCUAUUUCUAACUCUCUUUUUCUUCAUCUCUCACUUUUUUUAUCUUUUCUAUCAUUCCUUUUUUGCCUCCUACUUCUCUUCCUUCUUCCUCUUUCAUCCCUUUUUCUCAUCGUUUUCCCUCUUCCUCCUUUUCUCCCCAACCUCUCUCUGUAUACUCCUUCUUUCACCUCCACGACUCCCUCUCUUUUUCCUCCCUGUCUCCCCCUCACUUCCACUACUACCCUGCCCUCUGUCCUAUCCUCCUCCUAACCUUUUCUCCUUCAUUCUUGUCCUCACCGUCUUCCUUCACCUCUUUCUUCCUUUCCUCUGCUCUAUGUCUCCAUCUCUUCCAUCCUUUAUUUCCUUGCUCUUUCCUCAAUUCUCAGCUACCCCCCCCCAUCUCAACCUUUUAUUAUGUUUUCUUCCCUCAUGUCAUCCUCUCUCCUCUUCACAUCCUCCACUCCUUCAUCUAUCUCUCUGUUCCUCUCUCUUUAUUCUCCUCUCCUACUCCUCCUC
RNAcentral lists this long non-coding RNA (11590 nucleotides) under Xyrichtys novacula (pearly razorfish). The record is from RNAcentral. Lineage: Eukaryota; Metazoa; Chordata; Actinopteri; Labriformes; Labridae.